This 267-nucleotide long non-coding RNA is filed under the name Vulpes vulpes (red fox). RNAcentral's name for it is "lncRNA (ENSVVUG00000022040.1)". Lineage: Eukaryota; Metazoa; Chordata; Mammalia; Carnivora; Canidae. The record is from RNAcentral.
AUGUUCUUCAAAGAGCCUUUCAAAACCAACCACUUUGCAUUGUUCUUCAGGCUCCCAGAUGCUACAGGAAUGGGCUCCACCAUCUCCUCAUCCCUCCACAAUAUCCCGACAAGAAUAGGACUGGCAAUGUUUAUCCAUGUUCCACAGUCUGAGCUUCCAGUUUAUCCCAAGCAGCAUAUAGUCUGGGCUGUACAAAUAUCCAAUUCUGACUCCUGUCUCCUCUGGAAGUCUUUCACAAGCUUUGAGAAGUUGAUAAAUGAAAGAUGA